This 506-nucleotide ribosomal RNA is filed under the name Buhoma procterae. RNAcentral's name for it is "partial 16S ribosomal RNA". It matches the Rfam family "Bacterial large subunit ribosomal RNA", at positions 1816 to 2597 of the family's 2925-position model. The record is from RNAcentral. Lineage: Eukaryota; Metazoa; Chordata; Lepidosauria; Squamata; Pseudaspididae.
AACCUUUAGCCAAACAAAUAUUAAAGGCAACGCCUGCCCAGUGAACAAUUAAACGGCCGCGGUACCCUAACCGUGCAAAGGUAGCGUAAUCAUUUGUCUAUUAAUUGUGGACCAGUAUGAAAGGCAAAAUGAGGGCCCAACUGUCUCUUAUAGUACAUCAAUCAAACUGAUCUCCCAGUACAAAAGCUGGGAUACCCACAUAAGACCAGAAGACCCCGUGAAGCUUAAACUAACCUAUUAAACCACGUAAUAGCUCCUUUCGGUUGGGGCGACCUUGGAAAGAAAAAGAACUUCCAACACACUAUGACUCACUCAUACCCUAGGCCAACUAGCCAAACUAUGACCCAGUAUAGCUGAUAAAAGAACCAAGUUACUCCGGGGAUAACAGCGCUAUCUUCUUCAAGAGCCCAUAUCAAAAAGAAGGUUUACGACCUCGAUGUUGGAUCAGGACAUCCUAAUGGUGAAGCCGCUAUUAAGGGUUCGUUCGUUCAACGAUUAAUAGUCCC